RNAcentral lists this ribosomal RNA (497 nucleotides) under uncultured bacterium. Its description in RNAcentral is "partial 16S ribosomal RNA". It matches the Rfam family "Bacterial small subunit ribosomal RNA", at positions 28 to 507 of the family's 1533-position model. The record is from RNAcentral.
GAUGAACGCUGGCGGCGUGCCUAAUACAUGCAAGUCGAGCGAACAGACGAGGAGCUUGCUCCUCUGACGUUAGCGGCGGACGGGUGAGUAACACGUGGAUAACCUACCUAUAAGACUGGGAUAACUUCGGGAAACCGGAGCUAAUACCGGAUAAUAUAUUGAACCGCAUGGUUCAAUAGUGAAAGACGGUUUUGCUGUCACUUAUAGAUGGAUCCGCGCCGCAUUAGCUAGUUGGUAAGGUAACGGCUUACCAAGGCAAUGAUGCGUAGCCGACCUGAGAGGGUGAUCGGCCACACUGGAACUGAGACACGGUCCAGACUCCUACGGGAGGCAGCAGUAGGGAAUCUUCCGCAAUGGGCGAAAGCCUGACGGAGCAACGCCGCGUGAGUGAUGAAGGUCUUCGGAUCGUAAAACUCUGUUAUUAGGGAAGAACAAAUGUGUACGUAACUAUGCACGUCUUGACGGUACCUAAUCAGAAAGCCACGGCUAACUACGUG